This 697-nucleotide long non-coding RNA is filed under the name Anser brachyrhynchus (Pink-footed goose). RNAcentral's name for it is "lncRNA (ENSABRG00000009089.1)". Lineage: Eukaryota; Metazoa; Chordata; Aves; Anseriformes; Anatidae. The record is from RNAcentral.
CGUGCGUGCACGCACACACGCACCGAUGGCUUCAGGGAAGGGUAUUGUAACAGGGUGUUUGGCACUACUCUGCCAGCUCUUUUAGGAUCUGGCAGAGAUUUAGGAAAUCUCUCUGGAUUUCUCAGUCUUGAGUAAACAGUAGGUGUUUUGUUUAAGAUGGUGUAAAACUCUGUUUGCAGUCUCCCUUCAGUAUUGUUUCAGAGUCUGUGGCAAGAAUUAGCAGAGAAAAAUGACUGAGAGAAGAAAAUCAUAUUUCCCAUUUUCUGAGGAGCUCUUCUCAAAGCCUUGAUGCACUAAACUCAGGGAGAAGAUUUGAGCUUACUGAGGCAGGUUCAGCUGACUGAAGUUCACACUGAUACCCUUCUCAAAAAGACCCAAGAAGUAGUAUGAUACUCUAAGGGUAGCUGCUGCUGAAGCUGUUUUAUGUGCUGUGAUGAAACCAUGAGAUCAGAAUAUGAAAUGCUUCCGCAAAUAUUGACUACUCAAGGGUUACCAGUGUAUAGAAACCAGUCAUGCAACAGAACGAAUUGCUCAUUGUCCUGUCCUCCAGACAAACCAAGGAGAAAGAAAGAACAGCUGUUGUGCAAGUUGGAAGUACUGAGCUUUUUGGUACCACUGUCCACUUGUCGAAACAACACAAUUUCAUGCAAAGGAGUCUAUUAUCUAUCUAUUGGUGAGAGAAGAACUUUGAAUGGUG